GUCAUUGUGAUGUCUGCAUGUUUUAUGCUUGUAGUGAUGUCUCUGGUACUUUGUGGUCCUUGCAACAUUUCACUCACAUAGUCCCCCUUAGGAUCUCUUGUAGGGCUGG
Lynx canadensis (Canada lynx) is the source of this 109-nucleotide long non-coding RNA. RefSeq lists it as uncharacterized. NCBI's taxonomy places the organism in Eukaryota, Metazoa, Chordata, Mammalia, Carnivora, Felidae. The record is from RefSeq and is a predicted model, not a curated record. The transcript is spliced from 3 exons.